UACAGAGGUCUCGAGCGUUGUUCGGAUUCAUUGGGCGUAAAGGGUGCGUAGGUGGUCUGGUAAGUCGGAUGUGAAAUCCCGGGGCUCAACCCCGGAACUGCAUUCGAUACUGCCGGGCUUGAGUACUGGAGAGGAGAUCGGAAUUUACGGUGUAGCAGUGAAAUGCGUAGAUAUCGUAAGGAAGACCGGUGGCGAAGGCGGAUCUCUGGACAGUUACUGACACUGAGGCACGAAGGCCAGGGGAGCAAACGGG
Molecule: ribosomal RNA, 253 nt
Filed under: uncultured bacterium
Lineage: Bacteria
Description: partial 16S ribosomal RNA
Rfam family: Bacterial small subunit ribosomal RNA
Source: RNAcentral